This is a long non-coding RNA of Ostrinia nubilalis (European corn borer), 336 nucleotides long. RefSeq lists it as uncharacterized. The record is from RefSeq and is a predicted model, not a curated record. The transcript is spliced from 3 exons. NCBI's taxonomy places the organism in Eukaryota, Metazoa, Arthropoda, Insecta, Lepidoptera, Crambidae.
UUGACAUCAACAAAAAAAUCCGGAUUUGCCGGUCAUGGAAUUUUAAAAACGCCCUAAAUAAUUUAAAAUAAUGACUGACGAUGGCUAAAUCUACGUUACAGGUUCCUUCUGUACUCAACCCUGCCUUGACUGUUGCGUGUGUGCCGUCCGAUGUUAAUUUGCUACGCCCGUAAUUACUCAGUGGAAGACUGCGUGCGUUUUCUAUCGGUGCCCCGCAAAUUCCAAGUUCACCGGCCGAUCCGAUUUAUGGAAAGGCCUAUAUCGCUCCAAGUUUCUCAUCAUGCACGGAGAUGAUUUCAACAUCGAUUCCAUAGUUCGAAGCGUCUUGAAGAAAGG